This 301-nucleotide ribosomal RNA is filed under the name uncultured bacterium. RNAcentral describes it as "partial 16S ribosomal RNA". It matches the Rfam family "Bacterial small subunit ribosomal RNA", at positions 509 to 808 of the family's 1533-position model. The record is from RNAcentral.
CAGUCGCCACGGGAAUACGUAGGGGGCGAGCGUUGUCCGAAGUUACUGGGCGUAAAGCGCGCGUAGGCGGCUUCUUAAGUCUGAGGUGAAAGGUUCAACGCUUAACGUGAACAGUGCCUUGGAUACUGGGGAGCUUGAGUAUGGGAGAGGGCAGUGGAAUGGCUGGUGUAGCGGUGAAAUGCGUAGAUAUCAGUCGGAACACCCAUGGCGAAGGCAGCUGCCUGGCCUAAUACUGACGCUGAGGUGCGAAAGCGUGGGGAGCGAACGGGAUUAGAUACCCGCGUAGUCCCUGUCUCUUAUA